Molecule: non-coding RNA, 1567 nt
Organism: Elaeis guineensis (African oil palm)
Lineage: Eukaryota; Viridiplantae; Streptophyta; Magnoliopsida; Arecales; Arecaceae
Source: RefSeq, a predicted model, not a curated record
UCGCGUUGUUCCCUCGCUCCUCCGUCUCGAAAUCCAAGGCGACCGCCGGUCUCCCCCCAAAUCGGAACCCUUGCUCUUCAAUCCCAGUCUCCGUCUAUAAUCCCUUCGUCUCACAAUCCCUAAUCCUCCCAAAAACCCCAAUCUCCUUCUCAGGUGAAAAAACGUAGGCCAAGUCGGAAUGGGUCCAGCGGAAAUCCGCGAUCUUCGCUCGCUGUCGUGAGGCGGUCUUCCUCUCCUAUUCUGGUGACCUCGCUUUCGAACCAUAGACGAAAACUUGCAACUUUAGGAGUCGAUUGGAUUGACGUUCUUUCCAAUGGAUCUAAGUCGAUUGGGUGCUCCAAAUUAAUUGUUGGAUUUGUGGGUUUUUGUGUUCAAAAUGUAGGAAAUGAUUCCAAAGUAGAUUGACAUUUGUUUUUGUGAAAAAUAGAGCCAAACAAACGCCCUCUGCGUUUUCUUGGGCACUUCUUUUAUUUUCUUUAUAGUUUCUUGAUCUGUAUGAGAACUAAGUGGAGAGGAUAACUGUUGUUUGAAAAUUUAGAGAAUCUUUAAUCUAUAGGGCACGUGAAUAAUUGGCAUUGUCUUUGUGGAGAUGGAACUUCAAGCGGAGGGCUGAUUGAAGCUCUUCUUAUUGCCAUCAAAUCAUCUGGGAAAAGAAGGAAAUUUAGAACCCUCAUCGGGAGCAAUAAUGGUCAGAUACUUCUUAUCCUUCUGAUUGUUUUUCUCCUUUUUUUUUUUUUCUUUUUAAUUUUCUAAUAUGAAAACUAAAGCUUCAGAAGCAAUUUAGGCUAGCCAUUCUAUUCUGUACCGUCCCCUUAACUUAGAGUUUUCUUUCAUCUUACUUUUCUCUCAAAUGUUGGAUCCCCUUAACUUGCCCCUCCUUCGAUUCAGUCAUGCUUAUAAGUAGCAUUUUCUUCUGCAUGAAUUAUGACUGUUGAGAUGAGAUUCUCUGAUGUAAUAUAGCAGUUGUGCAAUUGAGUCUCUAGGUUCGGUUUUGGGUUUAUAUUGAUAUGAAUCUCAAUGCCUUCUGAUUCAAAAUUUUAACUUCAUUUUCUUCAGCUUUUACUUUUUUUUCUAAUGAGUCGUUGUUCUUGUAUGAAUGAAUAUGAAGAUGUUAUUUGUCAAUUUAUAGUCCCAUCAUUUACAAUCUAAUCGCUUCAAUCUUGGUUUUUGGGUUUAUAUGGACAUGAAAACUCAUUAGCAAUGAAUUCAGAAGUUCAGCUUGAACGUAAUUAGUGUAUUGUUUGCAUUGUCAAAUUUAAAGUUUUUUUAAAAAAAAAAAAUACAGCUAUGGUAAAUAUUAAUGAAUUUGAUGAUAUGAUUGAUGUAUUUUGGAAAAACCAUGUAUAGAUGACAUACUGUGGCUCCAUGGACAUGGGAUGCACAAGAUGAAACAUGUGGGAUUUGUGGAAUGAUAUUUGAUGGAUGCUGCCCUGAUUGUAAAUUCCCAGGUGACGGCUGCCCAUUAAGUUCACUUAGCAACUUUUGUUUUUGUUUACUGCAAAUGCUUGGUAAUUAAUGUUCACUUUUAUUUGUUAAGUUAUUGAUGGUUUUAUAGCCAUACUUAAGC